Molecule: long non-coding RNA, 362 nt
Organism: Myotis brandtii (Brandt's bat)
Lineage: Eukaryota; Metazoa; Chordata; Mammalia; Chiroptera; Vespertilionidae
Exons: 2
Source: RefSeq, a predicted model, not a curated record
CCUCAGGGGCGCAGUGCGGACCACAUGGCAGGGGAGAGUGGCCCUCAGUCCUGAGCGCCUCCAUGUGCCAGGAUAGCCCACCACGUCCUACAGACACAAGCCUCAAGCAGACCAAACUGCCGAUGACCCACCCAGGCCGACUCCUUUUCCGCGGCCGGUUCGCAGACGCUUGGUGACUUGGAAAAUGGAGAAUAAGUUCCCACCUUCACUGAGACGGACAGAGAACGGAUAUGGAAGGGGGGGCGAUGGAAAGCCGGGCGGGGGUUUUUGUGUACAAAUACUUGGGGGAAAAGGCAGUCUACCCCGCCCACAUGAAGAGCUGUAAUUACUCCUUACAGAACAGAAUUCUUUUGUUGUCCGGC